GAGAGCCUGGCUAGGCAGGCUGGAAACAGUAGCUCUUAACGGUCCCCCGCCCGUUGGUGGCAAGGCGGCUGGACUGGAAUCCCAGCAGGCGACAUGCGAGGAGGCGGGCAGCCCAGGAGGGUUGGACACGGCAAUGUGGACCUCGCCGCUUCCACAACGAUGCUGGCUACUGAUCGCGUGCACUUCCUUGCCAAAGAAAAUUUGUGCUGUGCACUAACAUGCAAUACAAAUACUGAUGAAAAUAAAACUAUUGCCCUCCUACCAAAUGAGAAAUUAAUGUUAUGACUGGAUGAAGACAAUUGUGAAGAAACUGCACUUUGAGGUUGUCUAUCUCUGUAUUCUGAUGGAAAAGCGUGGAGUUUAGAAGCACUGCUCACUCCUUCAGUUUCUAACAAGUUUGAGACUAUGGUUAGGUGGUGAGGAAGGCAGGCUCAGCACCCAAGCCUUGGGGAGACGCAGAAAGGGCCCAUCCCAGGCACUCAGGUGGAGGUGGUCUGUCCUAGAGAACGUUCCAUGUGGAUUUGAGAAGAAUAUAUAUUCUCAUGUUGGAUGCAGUGCUGUGCAUAUGUUUGUUAGGUUUAGUUGUUUUAUGUUGUUGUUCAUGUUUUCUAUUUUUUAUCUUCUGUCUACUUGUUCUAUCCAUUAAUAUAAGUGAAGCAUUAAAGUCUCCAACUAUUACUGUUGAA
This 686-nucleotide long non-coding RNA is filed under the name Homo sapiens (human). RNAcentral's name for it is "long independently transcribed non-coding RNA 2848, transcript variant 6 (LINC02848)". Lineage: Eukaryota; Metazoa; Chordata; Mammalia; Primates; Hominidae. The record is from RNAcentral.